This 303-nucleotide ribosomal RNA is filed under the name uncultured bacterium. RNAcentral describes it as "bacterial SSU rRNA". It matches the Rfam family "Bacterial small subunit ribosomal RNA", at positions 355 to 675 of the family's 1533-position model. The record is from RNAcentral.
UGGGGAAUAUUGCACAAUGGGGGAAACCCUGAUGCAGCAACGCCGCGUGAGUGAAGAAGUAUUUCGGUAUGUAAAGCUCUAUCAGCAGGGAAGAGAAUGACGGUACCUGACUAAGAAGCCCCGGCUAACUACGUGCCAGCAGCCGCGGUAAUACGUAGGGGGCGAGCGUUAUCCGGAUUUACUGGGUGUAAAGGGAGCGUAGACGGUUCUGCAAGUCUGAAGUGAAAGCCCGUGGCUUAACCGCGGAACGGCUUUGGAAACUGUGGAACUGGAGUGCUGGAGAGGCAAGCGGAAUUCCUAGUG